GACGAACGCUGGCGGCGUGCUUAACACAUGCAAGUCGAACGGAAAGGCCCUGCUUUUGUGGGGUGCUCGAGUGGCGAACGGGUGAGUAACACGUGAGUAACCUGCCCUUGACUUUGGGAUAACUUCAGGAAACUGGGGCUAAUACCGGAUAGGAGCUCCUGCUGCAUGGUGGGGGUUGGAAAGUUUCGGCGGUUGGGGAUGGACUCGCGGCUUAUCAGCUUGUUGGUGGGGUAGUGGCUUACCAAGGCUUUGACGGGUAGCCGGCUUGAGAGGGUGACCGGCCACAUUGGGACUGAGAUACGGCCCAGACUCCUACGGGAGGCAGCAGUGGGGAAUAUUGCACAAUGGACGGAAGCCUGAUGCAGCAACGCCGCGUGCGGGAUGACGGCCUUCGGGUUGUAAACCGCUUUCGCCUGUGACGAAGCGUGAGUGACGGUAAUGGGUAAAGAAGCACCGGCUAACUACGUG
Molecule: ribosomal RNA, 468 nt
Filed under: uncultured bacterium
Lineage: Bacteria
Description: partial 16S ribosomal RNA
Rfam family: Bacterial small subunit ribosomal RNA
Source: RNAcentral